Molecule: long non-coding RNA, 1020 nt
Filed under: Monodelphis domestica (gray short-tailed opossum)
Lineage: Eukaryota; Metazoa; Chordata; Mammalia; Didelphimorphia; Didelphidae
Description: lncRNA (ENSMODG00000035764.2)
Source: RNAcentral
CUGGGGUAUGGCAAGUUGAGUUCAUUAUGCUGAGUCUUUGGGGGUCCCUGCAGCAAUGUUAGAGGUAUGAUGCAUCCUUCUUCUAAUGACAAAAUUAGCUUCUACAGGAUGCAUGGUAUUCUUUUAUGCUUGGUUCUCCCCACAGCAUUUCCCUUUGCUAGGUUCUAAUGAUCUUCUAAUGUUGGAGAUGAAAGAGACCAUGAGGAUCAGCUAGUCUAACCCACCCUUUUCUAAUAAAUAAGGAGCCCGAGGACCAAAGAGACACAAUGGCUUGCCCAAGUUGACACAACUAAUACUGGACUUAUGGAGAAUUCCAAUCAAAUCAUUGGAAGUUUUCGGGAGUAUUCCUUCCCAAUAAGCAGGAAGCCUCAUGAUGGAAUUGAGGAGCUAUGAAACUUUCAUACUGAUUCAAAGGUCUAUUCAAGUUGUAGGAUGAAUUGAUGGUUUCCAUUGGACCAAGACUUGCUGAUUGUCCUGGGAAGGUCUACAGGAACAUUGAAUACAUGUUGCCACAUGUAAUUUCAAGGAGUACACAAUCAGAUUAUUCUUCAUUUAUUCCAUAUGAACUGAAACAACCUCCAGGAAUUGAUGAAGAGCAAAAGGAGCAGAACCAGGAGAACACUGUACACAGAGAUUGAUACACUGUGGCACAAUCGAAUGUAUGGGCUUCUCUACUAGCAGCAGUGCAGUGAUCCAGGACAAUUCUGAGGGACUUAUGAGAAAGAACACUAUCCACAUUCAGAGGAAGAACUGUGGGAAUAGAAACACAGAGAAAAACAACUGCUUGAUCACAUGGUUUGAUGGGGAUAUGAUUGGGGAUGUAGACUCUAAAUGAUCAUUCUAUUGCAAAUAUUAAUAAUAUGGAAAUAGGUCUUGAUCGAUGAUAUAUAUAAAAUGCAGUUGAAUUGCUUGUUGGCUAUGGAAGGGGGAGAGAAAGAAUAUGAAUCAUGUAUCCAUGGGAAAAUAUUCUAAAUGAAUUAAUUAAAUAAAUAAACUUUAAAAAAAUUCUUUAUUAUUUAU